This 514-nucleotide ribosomal RNA is filed under the name uncultured bacterium. RNAcentral describes it as "partial 16S ribosomal RNA". It matches the Rfam family "Bacterial small subunit ribosomal RNA", at positions 28 to 523 of the family's 1533-position model. The record is from RNAcentral.
GAUGAACGCUGGCGGCGUGCCUAAUACAUGCAAGUCGAGCGAACAGAUGAGAAGCUUGCUUCUCUGAUGUUAGCGGCGGACGGGUGAGUAACACGUGGGUAACCUACCUAUAAGACUGGGGUAACUCCGGGAAACAGGGGCAAAUACCGGAUAAUAUUUUGAACCGCAUGGUUCAAUAGUGAAAGACGGUUUCGGCUGUCACUGAUAGAUGGACCCGCGCCGUAUUAGCUAGUUGGUAAGGUAACGGCUUACCAAGGCGUCGAUACGUAGACGACCUGAGAGGGUGACCGGCCACACUGGAACUGGGACACGGUCCAGACUCCUACGGGAGGCAGCAGUAGGGAAUCUUCCGCAAUGGGCGAAAGCCUGACGGAGCAACGCCGCGUGAGUGAUGAAGGUCUUCGGAUCGUAAAACUCUGCUGUUAGGGAAGAAUAAAUUUGUUAGUAACUGAACAAGUCUUGACGGUACCUAACCAGAAAGCCACGGCUAACUACGUGCCAGCAGCCGCCGUAA